GACGAACGCUGGCGGCGUGCCUAAUACAUGCAAGUCGAGCGGACGUUUUUGAAGCUUGCUUCAAAAACGUUAGCGGCGGACGGGUGAGUAACACGUGGGCAACCUACCUUAUCGACUGGGAUAACUCCGGGAAACCGGGGCUAAUACCGGAUCACAUCUAGCACCCCCUGGUGCCGGAUUAAAAGAGGGGUCCUUUCUCUAACGCUGCGAUGGGCGCGGGGCGCAUUAGCUAGUUGGAGAGGUAACGGCUCCCCAAGGCGACGAUGCGUAGCCGACCUAAGAGGGUGAUCGGCCACACUGGGACUGAGACACGGCCCAGACUCCUACGGGAGGCAGCAGUAGGGAAUCUUCCGCAAUGGACGAAAGUCUGACGGAGCAACGCCGCGUGAGUGAUGAAGGGUUUCGGCUCGUAAAGCUCUGUUAUGAGGGAAGAACACGUACCGUUCGAAUAGGGCGGUACCUUGACGGUACCUCAUCAGAAAGCCACGGCUAACUACGUGCCAGCAGCCGCAGUAA
RNAcentral lists this ribosomal RNA (516 nucleotides) under uncultured bacterium. RNAcentral's name for it is "partial 16S ribosomal RNA". It matches the Rfam family "Bacterial small subunit ribosomal RNA", at positions 28 to 523 of the family's 1533-position model. The record is from RNAcentral.